GGUGCAGGAGGGAGGUGGGAACUCCAGGAGUCCAUCCUCAAGUACUGCUGGCCUGCGGAGGAGUGAGAGGGGAGGGAGACCCCAGGCCUGCCCAUAGCACGUCUGCCACACUGAGGUGGCCAGCUGAGCCGCUCGGUGUUGGGGCAAACAGCUUUUCAGCCCUCAGCACCCCCACCAGCGUCUUACUGGGUGAAGUGCAUUGCAGGCCCUGACUCCAUGGUCUGCCCUGGUCUCACAGGGAUGCGCCCUCUGUGCCCUGCCAGUCGGCUCAGGUGUAGGGAGGGGUGUGGGGUGUUCCGCACAGUUGUUACGAGAGGGUGGAAUUGUCUACCUAGAAGGGAUGAGAGUGACCCACAUUCUCUUUAUAUAGGAGAAGAGUGAGAAGUUAGUUGAAAACUUCAACAGAAAGAUGUGUUUGAUUAGAGCUGCGAUGUUUCUAUGUCAUUUUUCUUCAUAUUGGUCAAAGCCCCUGAAGUGCUGUGCCUGAAGAUACCAUUGUGGACCCUGGAGAGGCACCCUGCUACUUAUGCGGUAAAACCUCUACCACCCCAAACCUGGUCAGUUUGAGGGGAGCCGCUGCCACAGUAUCCACAGAGAAGGCCGGAGUUCCAGCCGUGUGGGGCAGCAGAGGGGAGUCUGACAGGGUCACCUCCUCCACAGAGAGAACUGGCAGCUGACUGCACUGCCAGGAGCCAAGGCCUGGGUGUGUGGAGCCCGGAAGACCAGGGAUACCUGAGGCAGGAGGUGCAGCGUGUGGAGUGAGGAACCCGAGAGGGGCUGGGGCCCGUGCUCAGCAUCAGCAGAGCAGGCAGGCAGAGUGGAGAGGGAGAGACGGAGCCCCAGAAGGGGAGCAGGAGGAGGCGGAAGUAGUGGCAGCAGCCCAGGCCAGGCGUGUGUCCUGCAAGUGCUAAGACCAGCCACCCCUCCCCAUGGCCUCCAAGCCGGCUGCCGGGAAGAGCAGAGGGGAGAAGCGGAAGAGGGUGGUGCUGACCCUGAAGGAGAAGAUUGACAUCUGCACGCGCCUGGAGAAGGGCGAGAGCCGGAAGGCACUGAUGCAGGAGUACAACGUGGGCAUGUCCACCCUCUAUGACAUCAGGGCGCACAAGGCGCAGCUGCUCCGGUUCUUCGCCAGCUCGGACUCCAACAAGGCACUGGAGCAGCGGCGCACGCUGCACACACCCAAGCUGGAGCACUUGGACCGCGUCCUGUAUGAGUGGUUCCUGGGGAAGCGCUCCGAGGGCGUCCCUGUGUCAGGCCCCAUGCUCAUCGAGAAGGCCAAGGACUUCUACGAGCAGAUGCAGCUCACUGAGCCCUGUGUGUUCUCCGGAGGGUGGCUCUGGCGCUUUAAGGCCAGACAUGGCAUUAAAAAGCUAGAUGCGUCCAGUGAAAAGCAGGCAGCUGACCACCAGGCCGCGGAGCAGUUCUGUGCAUUUUUCAGGAGCUUGGCUGCCGAGCACGGGCUGUCUGCCGAGCAGGUUUACAACGCCGACGAGACUGGCCUUUUCUGGCGGUGCCUGCCAAAUCCCACUCCGGAAGGCGGGGCUGUGCCUGGCCUCAAGCAGGGCAAGGACCGGCUGACCGUGCUGAUGUGUGCCAACGCCACGGGCUCCCACAGGCUCAAGCCCUUGGCCAUCGGGAAGUGCAGCGGUCCCAGGGCUUUCAAAGGCAUCCAGCACCUGCCCGUCGCCUAUAAGGCCCAGGGGAACGCCUGGGUGGACAAGGAGAUUUUUUCUGAUUGGUUCCAUCAUAUCUUUGUGCCCUCGGUGAGAGAGCACCUCAGAACCAUAGGUUUGCCUGAAGAUAGCAAAGCCGUUCUCUUGCUGGACAGCUCCCGGGCUCACCCGCAGGAGGCCGAGCUGGUGUCCAGUAACAUUUUCACCAUCUUCCUGCCUGCCAGCGUGGCCUCAUUGGUGCAGCCCAUGGAGCAGGGCAUUCGGAGAGAUUUCAUGAGGAACUUCAUCAACCCUCCGGCCCCCCUGCAGGGCCCCCACGCCCGCUACAACGUGAAUGAUGCCAUAUUCAGUGUGGCCUGUGCCUGGAAUGCGGUGCCUAGCCACGUCUUCAGGCGGGCCUGGAGGAAGCUGUGGCCAUCGGUUGUGUUUGCCGAAGGCUCCUCCUCUGAGGAGGAGGUGGAGGCAGAGCGCUUCCAAGCGAAGCCCCACAACAAGUCCUUUGCGCACAUCCUGGAGCUUGUGAAGGAAGGCUCCUCCUGCCCGGGCCAGCUUCGCCAGCGCCAGGCCGCCAGCUGGGGUGUAGCGGGAAGGGAGGCAGAAGGGGGACGGCCCCCUGCUGCCACGUUGCCAGCAGAGGUUGUGUGGAGUUCAGAAAAGACUCCGAAAGCUGACCAGGACGGCGGAGGAGAUCCUGGUGAGGGCGAGGAGGCGGCCUGGGAGCAGGCGGCCGUGGCCUUUGACGCAGUCCUGCGCUUUGCGGAGCAGCAGCCAUGCUUCAGUGCGCAGGAAGUGGGGCAGCUGCGGGCGCUGCGUGCCGUGUUCCGGAGCCAGCAGCAGGAUGGUGGAGAGCAGUCUUCAGCCUGGGAUCCAUCCCUAGGUAAGUAACUGAAUUGGGGUUUGUCUUGGCUAAAGUUAAAAUUAACAGCCAGCUGGUCUUAAUUUCUCCUUACUGUUAGAGCACUCAGUAAUGAUAUAAGUUGUGCAAUCAUUUGUUUUGCUUUGCUCUUUGUUGUUGUUUGUUUCUGUUUUUGUUGUUUCAGUCUUUUUCCCCUUGGGUUUGACCAACUGUAUCUGACUUGAUCAAAUCUGAAGGAAAGUUUCAAAUUACGGGGAACAAGGCCUCUGAAGUGGCUAAAUUCCCACCAAAAAAAAAAAAAAUGAUUGAUUUUUGAUUUUCACUGCUUAAGGGGCCUUAUUUACAUAACAAGACCACCUUUUUGCUAGCCAGGCCAAACUGAAAGCAAUGGCUGUUACCCCACACUGCAGUUCAAUGCCUAAGGUUCUGCCUUCCUUUUUUUUUUUUUUUUCCAGCAUGACAGCUGGGUUUGGUUCCUAAAUCAAGUCCUUUCUGGUUUGAUACUUGGUACUUCUGAAAUAGCAGCAAUUUGUCCUAGCUGAAAUAUGGUAAUGAGAUUUUAAAACUUUUUCUUUUAAAGGAGCUCAAUGGUUAAAAGUCAGAUAAAUUAAAGCUAACAUCCAAAAUGUGUGUAUGUGUGUGUUUUUAAAGGACCUUCAUGUUUUUGUUUUUGUUUUUUUCCUCUCCUAGAACCUUGUCUUUUAUUUGAACAAAGGUUUUUUUCUUCGCAGUUGACUCAAUUCUAGUUUCUUCAUUUACUUCUGCUGUCUCUCCUUUCUCUUGCACCCUCUGCUGCACAGGGGACCUAAAAUAGUUUAUAAUAGCGUGGAGUUCCUUAAAGAAAAUGGAGAAGGUGCUAGACGCCUUUUGGGGGAGAAACCUCUGUUUUUCCUUAUGGAACCCCAAGAAUUGAAACAGACAAGUUUGUUUCAGUCCUUAAACCACUUAAUUUUGUAUUGCAUACCUGAUUUUUUAAACUAAAAUAGUUAUUGCAACAGAGACUACCCUUGUUUUUUAAGGAGAUUGUAGUUUAGACACUUAGAAAUGUGUUUGUAUUAGUCAAUUUUCACGCUGCUGAUAAAGACAUGCCCGAGACUGGGCAAUUUACAAAAGAAAGAGGUUUCAUGGACUUACAGUUUUGCAUCGCUGGGGAGCCCUCAUGAUGAUGGUGGAAGGCAAGGAGGAGCAAGUCACAUCUUACAUGGAUGGCAGCAGGCAAAGAGAGAGAGUUUGUGCAGAGAAACUCCCAUCUUUAAAACCAUGAGAUCUCUGGAGACUUAUUCACUAUCAUGAGAACAAGACAGGAAAGACUGACCCUGUGAUUCAGUUACCUCCCACCAGGUUCCUCCAAUGACAUAUGGGAAUUGUGGGAGUUACAAUUCAAGGGCUUUGACUCCUGGAUCUAAAAAGAACACCUAGUCCUGCUAAAUUUUAAACACUGACAGGAAUUAAACUCCAUCUUCAGACCCAGUAGAAGAUGCCAUUCAAAAUAAACUGCAUUCCUGAGACAUAGGGCCAGAAAUUAAAGCUGUUCAACUCCUCAAGGCCCAGGGACUAUCAUGAAGAGGUGGGUGUGUGAGAUUGUAAGGGCUGAUUUUGAGAGAUAAAAUAAGCUGUUUCUCUAUAAAUAAAUCAUUAAUGUCAAAAGCACACUGAUGCAAGACCAGCAUAUGGACCCCUGUGUCAGAUUAACAAGGUUUUCUGGAAGCAUUAACUGACUCCUUAAUUAAUUAAGGCUACAAAGUUUAUAAAAGGCUUAUGAAAAUUAUAUCUUAUUAUGGUCAAGAUUAAAAUUUUAUAAAUUGUUUAUAAAAUUUUGAAAAACAAAUGUAAUUGGCUACAUGUUGUUUUUAUUAGGGUUUAUUCUUUGGAAAAUUAAGUUUUCUCUGAAAGAAGGAAGAUUUUCACCUUUUUUGAAAUCCUCGAGUUAGCACUUUGGUUAAAUGAAUGACUUAUUUUACAAUAACCUGUGAUAUCAAGUGUUUUAAACCUUUGAUAUUUGACAAACUUUCAAAAUCAAAUUAUAAAUUAUGUCUUUUUCUGACCUAAUUAAUCCUUUAAGAUAUUAAGUUCCAUAAAGUCCAAAAAUGACAUAAUUUGUCUUAUUUGUUAUAAAAAUUAUAUAGGAAGUGUUGUCAAAUAUGAAAUGGUGUUUGGGUUUCUUUGGGCUGUGUUUGUAUAAAUAUGUUAUUGGUAUGUGUUCCCAAAUCAUAGGAAACUCCUAUAAUUCUGAUAUGACUUAGUGUACAUUAUCAGUAAUAAUUAUAAUUAUUAUGUUAAAUUAUGUGCCACAGAGGUAACAAAUUUUCUUGUCAAUGGUGCUUUUGACUGUGGCUGCCCUAAAACCUUUUGUCGUUCAUGGACAAUUGUUGUCUUAUUUUGGUCCUUCUUAGAAGGUGAUUUUAUAAAAAGCUAUAAAAGUACAACAGCUGCUCUUGCAUACAAGUUUUUAAUAGCUUUGGAGAUGGUGACAUCAGAAUAAAAGAAAAACUUUCAGGACCUUUGGAGAACUGAAAUGUUCAGGAAUGUCAAGCAGAGCAGGAAUUAACUACAGCAACUGAACUAUUACAAGACUGAAGUAAUCAUUUUGACUUUUCACUUAAAAUGUUGCUAAUCCUUUGUUUUCCUUUUUCAGAACCAGGGAAACUUUUCUUUUGAGUGAUUAACAGCAUUUAACAAUUUAGUGUCUUCCUAUGAACAAAAUUUAUAACAUAUUUAUUUUUCCUCUACCUGAUUUCUCCAGAAUUUGGAAGCUAUUUGUGGCAAUACAUUAUUUACAUAACUACAAUAAGAAUCUCUUUUUAUGUAUGAAAGGACACACUUGGAGAAACUGGUUAUUUUACCAAGGCUUUGACUGGAAUGGUGUGCUUUCCUUUAAGGAAUCAAACUUGACUUACAGAGCCAAUAAAAGCCCCUUGGGAAAACUGGCCUCAUGUUUGUCUACACAGCCCCUGUACAGAGUUCCUGACCUGUGGUAGGUAAAGAAUGUCACUUUCUGACAGGCCCACCAGCCCCAAGUUUUAUCUUGGAACCUCAGGAGAAGAGGAUCUCCCAACUCAUAGAUAUUUGAUGAUACGAAUCCAUGGCUGCACUCAGCUUUAAAAAAGUCUUAUUUGAGACAAAGCUCCAUCAAAGCCAACUUAAAAGCCUUUGUAGGUUGGGCGCGGUGGCUCACGCCUGUAAUCCCAGCACUUUGAGAGGCCGAAGUGGGUGGAUCACCUGAGGUCAGGAGUUGGAGAUGAGCCUGGCCAACGUGGCAAAACCCCAUCUCUACUAAAAAUACAAAAAUUAGCCAGGUUUGGUGGCAUGCACCUGUAAUCCCAGGUACUCAGGAGGCUGAGGCAGGAGAAUCACUUGAACCUGGGUGGCGGAAGUUGCAGUGAACUGAGAUCAUGUCACUGCACUCCAGCCUGGGUGACAGAGGAAAACUCCGUCAAAAAAAAAAAAACCUAUGUAAAAAAUAAUUAUUCUUGCUGCACUGAAUACAAAUAAUUAGGCCAAGUAUAAUAAAGAAAACUAGUCCUACCAUGAUUUGUGUUUAUUAAAAAUGGGAAACUGGAGAAAGAAAAAUUAUGUUGCAAAACCUAUAGUACACCUGUUGUUAGAUUCUAGUCUUGCCUAAUGUUUUAAAGUUUUUAUUAUUUUCUACAGUUUUGACUUAAUUCUAAUUUUUCUUGGCUACAACUCUUCAAAAUAAUGUUUUUGAUUUUUUCUUCUGUAUUUUUCCCCCAUUUUUUCUGAUCUGGAGUCACUGAAAACUAAGCUGUGCUUUCAUAAAGCCCUGUGAACUGAAGCUAGGCAACUUAAACUUCAGAAGAAAACAACAGCAACCUAUUUACAUACAUAAGCCACUUUCAUACCUGCCUACUAAUGUAUGGGCUUCAGAGUAAUGUGGCCUAUAUUGAUUUUUCCCAGAUUGUUCUUUCGUUUGUUGUUGUUUUUCUCCAUUCCUCCCCCUAUUUUCUUUUCAUAGGACAAGAGACUUCACAACAAAGCUCAUUCUAAAAAUAAGCUUUUCUAAUAAUUCUGGACCUAACUGUACAGGAAUAAACCAUCCUAGCCAUGAGAGAGCAGACAAAACCUGAGACCAGAGACCCGUUUUCUUCUAAAAUGCUUUCUCCAAAAGAUUUUAAAAAAGAAAAGGGGGAAAAUGUGAAAGGAACCUAUCUUGGGGCCCCAAAAUCACUAAGCUAAAAGGAAAAGUCAAGCUGGGAAUUGCUUCGGGCAAACCUGCCUCCCAUUUUAUUCAAAGUCAUCCCUCUGCUCACUGAGAUAGAUGCAUCUCUGAUUGCCUCCUUUGGAAAGGCGAAUCAGAAACUCAAAAGAAUGUAACCAUUUGUCUGUUAUCUACCUAAGACCUGGAAGUCCCCUCCCCACUUCCAGUUGUCCCGCCUUUCCAGACCGAACCAAUGUUCAUCUUGCACAUGUUGAUUGAUGUCUCAUGUCUCCCUAAAAUGUAUACAACCAAACUGUGCUCUGACCACCUUGGGCACAUGUCGUCAGGACCUCUGGAGCCUGUAUCAUGGGUGUGUGUCCUCAACCUUGGCAAAAUAAACUUUCUAAAUUAACUGA
This is an RNA transcript of Symphalangus syndactylus (siamang), 7101 nucleotides long. It is a transcript of the gene named Jrk helix-turn-helix protein, with no coding region annotated. The record is from RefSeq and is a predicted model, not a curated record. NCBI's taxonomy places the organism in Eukaryota, Metazoa, Chordata, Mammalia, Primates, Hylobatidae.